AAAAAGAGACAAACCUAGUUUCCGUGUCCAACGUUUGAUCGUCCGUUUUAUUUAAAAAAAUUAUGAAAAAAUUAAAAAGAUAAGUCACGCAUAAAGUAUUAAUUAUGUUUUAUCAUUUAACAACAAUGAAAAUACUAAUUAUAAAAAAAUUUCAUAUAAGACGGACAGUUAAACGUUGGCACGAAAAUUUAGGGUUUGCCUUUUU
Molecule: microRNA precursor, 205 nt
Filed under: Oryza glumipatula
Lineage: Eukaryota; Viridiplantae; Streptophyta; Magnoliopsida; Poales; Poaceae
Description: MIR812 microRNA precursor family
Rfam family: MIR812 microRNA precursor family
Source: Rfam by way of RNAcentral